AGAGUUUGAUCWUGGCUCAGAUUGAACGCUGGCGGCAUGCCUUACACAUGCAAGUCGAACGGUAACAGGUCUUCGGAUGCUGACGAGUGGCGAACGGGUGAGUAAUACAUCGGAACGUGCCCAGUAAUGGGGGAUAGCUCGGCGAAAGCCGGAUUAAUACCGCAUACGCCCUGAGGGGGAAAGUGGGGGACCGCAAGGCCUCACGUUAUUGGAGCGGCCGAUGGCUGAUUAGCUAGUUGGUAGGGUAAAGGCCUACCAAGGCGACGAUCAGUAGCUGGUCUGAGAGGACGAUCAGCCACACUGGGACUGAGACACGGCCCAGACUCCUACGGGAGGCAGCAGUGGGGAAUUUUGGACAAUGGGGGAAACCCUGAUCCAGCAAUGCCGCGUGUGCGAAGAAGGCCUUCGGGUUGUAAAGCACUUUUGUCAGGGAAGAAAUCCUUUGGGCUAAUACCCUAGGGGGAUGACGGUACCUGAAGAAUAAGCACCGGCUAACUACGUGCCAGCAGCCGCGGUAAUUCA
This 522-nucleotide ribosomal RNA is filed under the name uncultured beta proteobacterium. RNAcentral's name for it is "bacterial SSU rRNA". It matches the Rfam family "Bacterial small subunit ribosomal RNA", at positions 8 to 527 of the family's 1533-position model. The record is from RNAcentral. Lineage: Bacteria; Pseudomonadati; Pseudomonadota; Betaproteobacteria.